This 818-nucleotide ribosomal RNA is filed under the name uncultured Pseudomonadaceae bacterium. RNAcentral describes it as "SSU rRNA". It matches the Rfam family "Bacterial small subunit ribosomal RNA", at positions 53 to 866 of the family's 1533-position model. Lineage: Bacteria; Pseudomonadati; Pseudomonadota; Gammaproteobacteria; Pseudomonadales; Pseudomonadaceae. The record is from RNAcentral.
ACAUGCAAGUCGAGCGGAUGAAGGGAGCUUGCUCCUGGAUUCAGCGGCGGACGGGUGAGGAAUGCCUAGGAAUCUGCCUGGUAGUGGGGGAUAACGUCCGGAAACGGGCGCUAAUACCGCAUACGUCCUGAGGGAGAAAGUGGGGGAUCUUCGGACCUCACGCUAUCAGAUGAGCCUAGGUCGGAUUAGCUAGUUGGUGGGGUAAAGGCCUACCAAGGCGACGAUCCGUAACUGGUCUGAGAGGAUGAUCAGUCACACUGGAACUGAGACACGGUCCAGACUCCUACGGGAGGCAGCAGUGGGGAAUAUUGGACAAUGGGCGAAAGCCUGAUCCAGCCAUGCCGCGUGUGUGAAGAAGGUCUUCGGAUUGUAAAGCACUUUAAGUUGGGAGGAAGGGCAGUAAGUUAAUACCUUGCUGUUUUGACGUUACCAACAGAAUAAGCACCGGCUAACUUCGUGCCAGCAGCCGCGGUAAUACGAAGGGUGCAAGCGUUAAUCGGAAUUACUGGGCGUAAAGCGCGCGUAGGUGGUUCAGCAAGUUGGAUGUGAAAUCCCCGGGCUCAACCUGGGAACUGCAUCCAAAACUACUGAGCUAGAGUACGGUAGAGGGUGGUGGAAUUUCCUGUGUAGCGGUGAAAUGCGUAGAUAUAGGAAGGAACACCAGUGGCGAAGGCGACCACCUGGACUGAUACUGACACUGAGGUGCGAAAGCGUGGGGAGCAAACAGGAUUAGAUANCCUGGUAGUCCACGCCGUAAACGAUGUCGACUAGCCGUUGGGAUCCUUGAGAUCUUAGUGGCGCAGCUAACGCGAUAAGUC